This 150-nucleotide small nuclear RNA is filed under the name Zalophus californianus (California sea lion). Its description in RNAcentral is "U2 spliceosomal RNA (ENSZCAG00015006520.1)". It matches the Rfam family "U2 spliceosomal RNA". Rfam says of the family: U2 is a small nuclear RNA (snRNA) component of the spliceosome (involved in pre-mRNA splicing). Complementary binding between U2 snRNA (in an area lying towards the 5' end but 3' to hairpin I) and the branchpoint sequence (BPS) of the intron results the bulging out of an unpaired adenosine, on the BPS, which initiates a nucleophilic attack at the intronic 5' splice site, thus starting the first of two transesterification reactions that mediate splicing. Lineage: Eukaryota; Metazoa; Chordata; Mammalia; Carnivora; Otariidae. The record is from RNAcentral.
AUCACUUCUCAGCCUUCUGGCUAAGAUCAAGUGUAGUAUCUCUUCUUAUCAGUUUAAUAUCUCUAUAUCCUCUGUCCAAGACUUAUUUUUUUUUUUUUAAGAUCUUAUUUUAUUUGACAGAGAGAGACACAGCGAGAGAGGGGACACAAG